UCUGGGUCGCAUGGCUUCAUAUCGUGGCCUAUUUGCGGGUGGUGUAUACUCUCUCAUUUGGGUCGAUGUUGGGGCCGUGCAGCCUUUCAGUCGUGUCUGUGUUAACAGGUGUUGGCUAGGUCGGUGGGUUUUCUCGCUGAUCUGUCAGCAUGCUUCCAGAUGCCUUUAAACGGGUGUCGGGAGCGGACGACACGUUUACUUUGAACAAAUUUGAGUGUUCAAAGCAGGCCUGUGUGCCUAAAAAGUCUUGCAUGGAAUAAUGGAAUAGGACUUCGGUUCUAUUUUGUUGGUUUUCGGAUCCGAAGUAAU
This 309-nucleotide ribosomal RNA is filed under the name Paucivitellosus fragilis. RNAcentral describes it as "SSU rRNA". The stretch from base 192 to 309 matches the Rfam family "Eukaryotic small subunit ribosomal RNA", at positions 748 to 866 of the family's 1831-position model. Lineage: Eukaryota; Metazoa; Platyhelminthes; Trematoda; Azygiida. The record is from RNAcentral.